GGGGGUGAUAUGGUUAUGUUUUGAGACUGUCAAUUUCGAAACGCGGGUUCGAUUCCCGCCACCUCCACAA
This 70-nucleotide transfer RNA is filed under the name Candidatus Peregrinibacteria bacterium. RNAcentral's name for it is "transfer-messenger RNA". It matches the Rfam family "tRNA". Rfam says of the family: Transfer RNA (tRNA) molecules are approximately 80 nucleotides in length. Lineage: Bacteria; Candidatus Peregrinibacteriota. The record is from RNAcentral.